This 1534-nucleotide long non-coding RNA is filed under the name Androctonus crassicauda. The record is from RNAcentral. Lineage: Eukaryota; Metazoa; Arthropoda; Arachnida; Scorpiones; Buthidae.
CGAAACUUAAUUUAUGUUUCCAGAAAUUUUUUUAUUCUAUAACUCGAAUUUAAAUUAGUUAGAUACAAUAAUUACACGUUACAACUUUAGUUAAAAUAAAAGCACUAUUUAUCAGGCAGACAUUCUCUAUUUUAAACUUUUCAAUGCUAAUGUUUUCAAUACACUAGGUAUCAUCUUCAGGCUAUACAGCUAGGCCCAUAGUGGAGAAAAUUAAUGCUCCUACCAACUACUUGGAAAGGAAAAUAACAUCAUGGGCAAUGAAGAUACUGGGCCAAACAAUUAAUUCAACCAUAAUAACAACACAAGCCUUUGCAAGGUUAAGAGAAGUCCAGUGGGAAGAAGGGAACUUUAUAGCUAUGUUUGAUUAUGAAAACUUAUAUCCUUCCUUGGAAAUCCAAUCUACAUGCCUGCUGUUUUAAAGGUUUCUCCUUACUAAUAUGCAAGACUCAACUUAAAAUACCAUUGCUCAGAGAUUUAGCAUACCUACUAUGCCAUAAAUCAUACUUCCCUUUAAAGGGAAUAAUUAUAUGCAGUGUAAAAGUGUGCCUAUAGGAAGUCUCAUGGUGGCCCCCUUGGCUAAAAUAGUACUAAGAGAAGCAGAAGCUAAAGUACUUAGUAAGCUACAAAGUGGCAUGAAGUUUUAUUUAUGUACAUCGAUGAUAUUUUAACAGUAUGGAAAAAGGGACAAGAUCCAAAAGUCUUGACUGAGCAUUUAAUGAUAAAUGCAUAUGGUAUAGUAUUGAAUGAGCAGGAAGUUAGCCACUCAUCCACACAUUUUUUGGAUAUUAAAAUAGAAAUAAGACAUAAAGAACUUAACACUUCAGUCUACAGAAAGCCAACAUAUGAACCUGUUGCUAUACCCAGGUGGUCCCGACUCGUCUUCAUACAAAACAGCAGCAUUUAAUUUUUACUUUAGAAGAGCCAGCACUUAUAUUACUAACCAACUUGAAUUAAGAAAAGAGCUUGAUUAUAUUUACAAAAUAGGGCAACAAUACAGAUACUCCUAGAUGUUUUUUGGAUGCAAUAUAUUAUAAAGUGCAGAAAUCGUCUCCAAACAAGGAACCUCCUAAAGAACCAAAAAGUGAGCAAUAUGAGCCAAUCCUUUAUGCAAUGAAGAAUUGUAACACUGCUAGAAAAUUAGCUAAAAAGCUUAGUAAAAAGUUAACAUACAAAAAACACCCAACACUCUACACAGUCAACUAAGGAAUGAGAAAGACUCCAAGGAGGAAAAACAACAAUCAGGAGUGUAUAAAAUACUUGUUAAGAACAAUACUGUAAGGAGAAUUGAAAAAAGAAAAAAAGAAUAAACAAAAAAAAUGAUACCUGUUGUGUGGAAUUGGCCAGGGACUGCCGUAUCAUUCUGAUGUUUGUUAACGAGAGUAAAGUGAAUAAAUGAGAUAAGAUGGAUAAGUUUUUAUUAACAAAAAUUAUUGGUGUUGUUAUUUAAAGAAAUAUAAUAAGGAAGAUAUACUAGUAACAAUAGCUCUAUAACAGGUAAAAUAGACUUUACUAAACAAACAAGUUACAGCAGCAG